AUGCGGGCUCGGGCCAAUUUUCCCGCCAGAACAGAGCCCGCAUACUCGCCCGACCCGCAAGCCGCAGCCCACAAACCGCACGCCCCGAGCACUAUAAGUGCCGUUCCGCGACCCUUUUACGGGUCCAAACCCUAUCCCCCCGCCGCCGCGAGCCACCCGAUUCCCCUUUCCCCUCUCCCAAUUUCUCGCCGCCGGCGACCACCCGCCCCGCCUCCAGCCGCCAUGUGGGGGCGAAUGUGGAGCUCCGGACGCGGCUCCGGUAGCAGAUCCGGCCGUGAGAGGGACCCGGAGCGCGAGCGGCGCGUCCGGUCCGACGGCGCGAGGAAGCGCGGCGCCCAGAAGUGGACCAACCACGGGAUGUCGCCGCCGGCGAGCUUCAACCGCCGCAAAACGGAGGAGUACGACCGCCGGCGCGCGUCCUUCUCCUCCGCGAGGUCUUCCUACGCCGGAUCCUCCUUGUCCUCCGCCGCGGGCUUCCUCCCCGUGAAGAGGGAGUGUUCGGACGAGGAGGAGGAGGAGCCGGAGCCGCCGGCGCCGUUCGCCUUCGUCCCGGUGAAGGAGGAGCCCGAGGAGCCCGCUCCGCUCGGCUACCGCGGAGUCGUCGGGCCCGAGGACUACGUCGCGGACUUCGACGCCGUCGCCGUCGCCAUCGCCGAGCGGAGCGUGCGCGAGGAGGAGGAGUGA
This 684-nucleotide ribosomal RNA is filed under the name Triticum aestivum (bread wheat). Its description in RNAcentral is "partial small subunit ribosomal RNA". The record is from RNAcentral. Lineage: Eukaryota; Viridiplantae; Streptophyta; Magnoliopsida; Poales; Poaceae.